AUUGAACGCUGGCGGCAGGCCUAACACAUGCAAGUCGAACGAGUGGCGGACGGGUGAGUAAUGUCUGGGAAACUGCCUGAUGGAGGGGGAUAACUACUGGAAAAGGUAGCUAAUACCGCAUACCAUCGGAUGUGCCCAGAUGGGCUUAGCUAGUAGGUGGGGUAAAGGCUCACCUAGGCGACGAUCCAUAGAUGGCCUGAGAGGAUGACCAGCCACACUGGAACUGAGACACGGUCCAGACGCCUACGGGAGGCAGCAGUGGGGAAUAUUGGACAAUGGGCGCAAGCCUGAGACAGCCAUGCCGCGUGUAUGAAGAAGGCCUUCGGGUUGUAAAGUACUUUCAGCGGGGAGGCGGUACCCGCAGAAGAAGCACCGGCUAACUCCGUGCCAGCAGCCGCGGUAAUUC
RNAcentral lists this ribosomal RNA (406 nucleotides) under uncultured bacterium. Its description in RNAcentral is "partial 16S ribosomal RNA". It matches the Rfam family "Bacterial small subunit ribosomal RNA", at positions 29 to 526 of the family's 1533-position model. The record is from RNAcentral.